GGGUAUUUCAGGCCCCAUGGGUGGUGCCACAAGCAUGUGACCUUCAGGGCUCAGAGUUGGAGACAGCAGGCGAGCUGGUUAUGCAGGGGAAAGCGGAGACCCUCACCAGAUGACAGUGCCAUGCUUUUGGACUUCCCAACCUCCAGAAAUAUGAUAUCUGUAAAUACACAAGUACAGCAGCCAUGGCUUGGGAAGGGCAUAGUGAACAGGAGCUCGUACUGCUCAGAAAUAAGGAUCUGGAUCACAGCAUCAGCAAGGACUAAGAGACACCCCUAAGGAAGAAAAGUAGUAGUAGGCUGAACCUGCUUCCUGAGUUCCAGACGCCUAAAUGUGAUCUCCUUGAUUUCUAGAUGAGUCUCUCCUGCCUCCAACUCAACAGUCCUUGUAGAACUCAUCAUCUCCUUUAACCUUACAUAAACCUGAGCACAUCCUCCAUUAACUAACCACGCAGUUACACGAGGCCAAGCAUUGAGUGUCAUUCCUGGCUUUCCCUUCUAUACAGUUCCCGCAAUUAUAUCCAAUCAAUCCACUGAAUCUAGUCCUGUUGAUUCUACCUUCUUAGUACCUUUCAAAUAUAUCCUUGGCCUCCAUCCCUAUCCCAGUAUCCUAGUGUUCAGGGCACCAUUGCCUUUCAUUAGAUUGCCACAGGAGUCUCCUCACCUGAUUCUCAACUGCUACCUUGUCUGCACAUAAAACAGCUUUACAAUAGCCAAAAUGAUCCUUCUAAAUUUAAAUUUUGAUUUCUGCACUACCCUGCUUGAAACCUCACAAAGGCUGCCCACUGGCCAUAUGACAACACAUAAUCAUAAUCUAGUUUCUAAAUAUCACUUCAGAUUGUUCUCCUCCCAGGACCCAGGGGACAUUCCAAAAUAAUGCAUUCUUUCAGGCUCUCAAAAGAACCACUUCCAGGCGAGUCCUUCUCUCACUUCAUUGCUGACUAACUCCGCAGCUCCUUGGAAUUUAGUAUAGCUAUUACCUCUUUCCAGAGCUGUUUGCUGGCACCCCAAUGGCUGCCCUAGGUCCUAUUUUCCUGUGCUUACUAAGAUCUUAGCAUACAAGCACAUGUCGUUUCAUUGCACUUCACCUUAUUGAACCUUGUGGAUAUUGUUUUACUGUGUUGUCUAUCAGUGCCAUAUUUUCAACAGCACAUGCUCACACAUGUCUCUAUAUCACAUUUUGUUCAUUACCACAACAUUUCAAACCUUUUUAUUAUUAUUAUAACCAUUGUGGUGAUCUGUGAUGAGUGAUCUUUGAUGUUACUAUUAUAAUUGUUUUGGGGUGCCACAAACCUCACACAUAUAAAACAAUGAACUUAAUUGAUAAA
Homo sapiens (human) is the source of this 1324-nucleotide long non-coding RNA. Lineage: Eukaryota; Metazoa; Chordata; Mammalia; Primates; Hominidae. The record is from Ensembl.